AAAUUGAAGAGUUUGAUCAUGGCUCAGAUUGAACGCUGGCGGCAGGCCUAACACAUGCAAGUCGAGCGGUAGCACAGAGAGCUUGCUCUCGGGUGACGAGCGGCGGACGGGUGAGUAAUGUCUGGGAAACUGCCUGAUGGAGGGGGAUAACUACUGGAAACGGUAGCUAAUACCGCAUAACGUCGCAAGACCAAAGUGGGGGACCUUCGGGCCUCAUGCCAUCAGAUGUGCCCAGAUGGGAUUAGUAGGUGGGGUAACGGCUCACCUAGGCGACGAUCCCUAGCUGGUCUGAGAGGAUGACCAGCCACACUGGAACUGAGACACGGUCCAGACUCCUACGGGAGGCAGCAGUGGGGAAUAUUGCACAAUGGGCGCAAGCCUGAUGCAGCCAUGCCGCGUGUGUGAAGAAGGCCUUCGGGUUGUAAAGCACUUUCAGCGGGGAGGAAGGCGUUAAGGUUAAUAACCUUGGCGAUUGACGUUACCCGCAGAAGAAGCACCGGCUAACUCCGUGCCAGCAGCCGCGGUAAUACGGAGGGUGCAAGCGUUAAUCGGAAUUACUGGGCGUAAAGCGCACGCAGGCGGUCUGUCAAGUCGGAUGUGAAAUCCCCGGGCUCAACCUGGGAACUGCAUUCGAAACUGGCAGGCUAGAGUCUUGUAGAGGGGGGUAGAAUUCCAGGUGUAGCGGUGAAAUGCGUAGAGAUCUGGAGGAAUACCGGUGGCGAAGGCGGCCCCCUGGACAAAGACUGACGCUCAGGUGCGAAAGCGUGGGGAGCAAACAGGAUUAGAUACCCUGGUAGUCCACGCCGUAAACGAUGUCGAUUUGGAGGUUGUGCCCUUGAGGCGUGGCUUCCGGAGCUAACGCGUUAAAUCGACCGCCUGGGGAGUACGGCCGCAAGGUUAAAACUCAAAUGAAUUGACGGGGGCCCGCACAAGCGGUGGAGCAUGUGGUUUAAUUCGAUGCAACGCGAAGAACCUUACCUGGUCUUGACAUCCACAGAACUUUCCAGAGAUGGAUUGGUGCCUUCGGGAACUGUGAGACAGGUGCUGCAUGGCUGUCGUCAGCUCGUGUUGUGAAAUGUUGGGUUAAGUCCCGCAACGAGCGCAACCCUUAUCCUUUGUUGCCAGCGGUUCGGCCGGGAACUCAAAGGAGACUGCCAGUGAUAAACUGGAGGAAGGUGGGGAUGACGUCAAGUCAUCAUGGCCCUUACGACCAGGGCUACACACGUGCUACAAUGGCAUAUACAAAGAGAAGCGACCUCGCGAGAGCAAGCGGACCUCAUAAAGUAUGUCGUAGUCCGGAUUGGAGUCUGCAACUCGACUCCAUGAAGUCGGAAUCGCUAGUAAUCGUAGAUCAGAAUGCUACGGUGAAUACGUUCCCGGGCCUUGUACACACCGCCCGUCACACCAUGGGAGUGGGUUGCAAAAGAAGUAGGUAGCUUAACCUUCGGGAGGGCGCUUACCACUUUGUGAUUCAUGACUGGGGUGAAGUCGUAACAAGGUAACCGUAGGGGAACCUGCGGUUGGAUCACCUCCUUA
Molecule: ribosomal RNA, 1536 nt
Filed under: Klebsiella pneumoniae
Lineage: Bacteria; Pseudomonadati; Pseudomonadota; Gammaproteobacteria; Enterobacterales; Enterobacteriaceae
Description: bacterial SSU rRNA
Rfam family: Bacterial small subunit ribosomal RNA
Source: RNAcentral